GUGAGGAAUAUUGGUCAAUGGACGAGAGUCUGAACCAGCCAAGUCGCGUGAAGGAAGACGGUUCUAUGAAUUGUAAACUUCUUUUGUGCAGGAAUAAAGUGGGUUACGUGUAACCUUUUGUAUGUACUGUACGAAUAAGGAUCGGCUAACUCCGUGCCAGCAGCCGCGGUAAUACGGAGGAUCCGAGCGUUAUCCGGAUUUAUUGGGUUUAAAGGGUGCGUAGGUGGAUUGAUAAGUCAGCGGUGAAAGUUUGCAGCUUAACUGUAAAAUUGCCGUUGAAACUGUCGGUCUUGAGUGCAAAUGAGGUAGGCGGAAUGUGUUGUGUAGCGGUGAAAUGCUUAGAUAUAACACAGAACUCCGAUUGCGAAGGCAGCUUACUGGGAUGCAACUGACACUGAUGCACGAAAGCGUGGGUAACAAACAGGAUUAGAAACCCCGGUAGUCC
This 445-nucleotide ribosomal RNA is filed under the name uncultured bacterium. RNAcentral's name for it is "partial 16S ribosomal RNA". It matches the Rfam family "Bacterial small subunit ribosomal RNA", at positions 354 to 796 of the family's 1533-position model. The record is from RNAcentral.